This 253-nucleotide ribosomal RNA is filed under the name uncultured bacterium. Its description in RNAcentral is "partial 16S ribosomal RNA". It matches the Rfam family "Bacterial small subunit ribosomal RNA", at positions 524 to 776 of the family's 1533-position model. The record is from RNAcentral.
UACGUAGGGUGCGAGCGUUAAUCGGAAUUACUGGGCGUAAAGCGUGCGCAGGCGGUUUUGUAAGUCAGAUGUGAAAUCCCCGGGCUUAACCUGGGAACUGCAGUCGGGACUGUCUAGCUAGAGUAUGGGAGAGGGAAGUGGAAUUUCAGGUGUAGCGGUGAAAUGCGUAGAUAUCUGAAGGAACAUCAGUGGCGAAAGCGACUUCCUGGACCAAUACUGACGCUCAUGUGCGAAAGCGUGGGGAGCAAACAGG